AAAAUCAAAUUUCAAACAUUCAUGAGGAUAUCUUUCUGAAUUUAAUUCAACAUAUAUUCCUUCUAAUCCACAAUUAUCAAACUUUCCAGCAUUCAAAUAAUUAUUAUCUCUAGCACAUUGAAAUGCUACAACAAUAUAUUUUAUUUUAUCAUAUUUAGUACCCAACUUCCAUG
Caenorhabditis elegans is the source of this 173-nucleotide non-coding RNA. Lineage: Eukaryota; Metazoa; Nematoda; Chromadorea; Rhabditida; Rhabditidae. The record is from Ensembl.